RNAcentral lists this ribosomal RNA (468 nucleotides) under uncultured bacterium. RNAcentral's name for it is "partial 16S ribosomal RNA". It matches the Rfam family "Bacterial small subunit ribosomal RNA", at positions 28 to 507 of the family's 1533-position model. The record is from RNAcentral.
GACGAACGCUGGCGGCGUGCUUAAUACAUGCAAGUCGAGCGAACAGACGAUGAGCUUGUGCCGUUCUCGUGUGCCGAACACGUGUGUAAAACGUGUGUAUACCCUCCUUAUAUUUCUGAUAACUCCUCGAAAAUCCGGCGCAUACAGCGGAGGAGCUAUUGCAGCGUAGUGGUGGAUGGAGAGAUUCGGCGGUUGGGGCUGGACUAGCGGCUUAUCAGCUUGUUGGUGUGGUAGGGGCGUACCAGGGCUUUGACGGGUAGCCGGCCUGAGAGGGUGACCGGCCACAUUGGGACUGCGAGACGGCCCAGACUGCUACGGGAGGCAGCAGUGGGGAGUAUUGCACAAUGGGCGGAAGCCUGAUGCAGCAACGCCGCGUGCGUGAUAACGGCCUUCGGGUUGUAAACCGCUGUCGCCUGUGACGAAGCGUGAGUGACGGUAAUGGGUAAAGAAGCACCGGCUAACUACGUG